Non-coding RNA from Arachis ipaensis, 918 nucleotides. The record is from RefSeq and is a predicted model, not a curated record. Lineage: Eukaryota; Viridiplantae; Streptophyta; Magnoliopsida; Fabales; Fabaceae.
GCUCUCAAAUAUAGUUGGUGCUUGAUUACAUAAGUUUAUAACCUUUAAAUUUAAUUUUCUUAUCUGUAUUAGUGGAUCAUAUACUAGUAAGAAAUUUAUCCAAACUGUAUUUCUAUGAUGUUUGCUUAUGCUUAUUUGUUAGUUUUGAUAUUUUUAUACAAUAAAAACAUGCUUUAGCUUCUAAGAGUGACAUAUAAAAUGGUUUAAUCUGGGAACAAAUUGUUGCACCGCAAGAAUAUAUUAUUAUGGCAUGGGGCUCUUGUUGCAUUAACUAUAGUACCUUCAUUGUAACUUGUGUUAAAACAUUUUUGACACUAUAACAAAGUACAUUAUUCAACUUUGGAUUGAUAGCAUUUUGUAAUUCAAAAAGGAACUGGAGGUUGUUCAGUACGCAUAUCUUUAUCUCUAAUUACCAAUUUUCUUUCAUAAGGGUAGUCCUGUUAUUGUAGGCUUGUAGCAUUAGACUUGAUGUAAUUUAUGAACUAGUACAUAAUAAGAUGUUUUGACUAGCGGAUUAUGGAGAAAGAAGAUAUUUGUAGAAACUCUACACUUUCAUAUUAAAUAUUCUCCUCAUAUACAUGUCCUUUAAUUUUACGAUGAUCAUUUGGAUGGAAUGAUUUUUCAUGCAAGAUUACGGAUACCUCCAGAUCAGAGACAGAUUACUCCGAUGCUUCUAAUGCAUUUGACAGAAGCAUUUACUCCCAAUGAGAGGUAUGUAUAUAAAGAAUACCCACUGUCAUCAAACAAUGUGGGCGGUCAAAUCAUAUAACCUUCAAGUUCAUUGACAAAUUACUUCGGCACUUUAAAUUUAUAACCUUCAAGUUUAUUAAUUUGUUUAGUUUCAUGAACGAUGAACUUCGGGUUGUAAUCAAUUAUCUUCAGAUCAUAUGACAAAUAAUUAUUUAUUUCAUUUUUAUU